Long non-coding RNA from Bombus pyrosoma, 4212 nucleotides. RefSeq lists it as uncharacterized. The transcript is spliced from 4 exons. The record is from RefSeq and is a predicted model, not a curated record. Lineage: Eukaryota; Metazoa; Arthropoda; Insecta; Hymenoptera; Apidae.
UAUGUACUACACGAUGUACAUGGACACUUGCAGCGGCAUCUUUGAUUUUACUUGAUGUCUUGUCACUUCAAACUGGUUUUACAGGGACAAGGGGGACAUUUCCAAUGACUGUACUCAAGUGCCUCUUUACUUCACCUUAUCCUCUGAUAAUUAACAAUUUAUUUGUGUUAACACUUUACGUAUGUUACCCAUAAUGAUUUCCUAACUAUCUAUGUCAGCUGUAUAAAAUUAAAAAGUUAGGGAAUAAGAAACAUAAUACAAUUAUAGCUUUUUAAAUAAUUCAUUGCAAAUAUAUUACAAAAUACAUAAACAUCUAUCUGAAUAAAUGGAAGAUCGAGUUUUAUCUGCAACCAUCUAAGAGAUGGCACGUACAGGGCUUCCUACAGACACACUUUUCAACUACAUUGGUGCGUAAGUUUUCUUUUCCCCCUGAAUGUCUUGUUUUUUUAACGCUUACAGUAUUUUCUACAGGCAUUCGUCUCAUUUGUUAUAAAUAUCCUCGAGUUCAAUGAAUUUUGCAGCCGACUGGCAUUGCCGAUUUUACCAGAUCUCUUAUCCUCUUACCACGAGGAAGUUGCCGCGAGUGGAGAUUGGUAGAGAAUUUUACCGCAAGUUACCGACCACUAUCGAAGUUUUGCCAAGCGGACAUUUAAAUUAGUUAUAUCGUUUCGUCUCUACGUGGAUGUGGUUUCUUUCUCAACAGUGUCGCCUCUUGUUUUAUCUCUACUCCUCGACAAGACCUGAAUACCUUAUAAUCUCAACAAAGUCUACUCCCCGUUUCAAGCUUGUAAUGCUCGAAAAUUAAAAGUACAAGUGCACCACAUUGACCCAUAAUGAAUAUAUUCUUGUAUCCAGAAAACAAAACCCACUGAACUUCUCCUAUCUGAUAUUCUAUCUGGAAAUAUCUUUCAGGUCGACGUGUUUCACAGAACAAAUAAAGGAACGAACUUCUGGGUAAUAGUUUUUCCGUACAUACACCGGGAAUCAUCGUACGGCAUGGGAUCAUUAGCUGUUCGCGGUCAACGUCUCUGGUCUCCCCUCGCGCUCGGUUUCAAAGCCGCAGAAACUCGUCUAUUCCCGUGUCGACGAUUUUCCACGGUUCUGGUGUGCUUUUUCGUCCCUAUAUGUGUCGACGGGUCGACGAACGGCACACGGAUACGGCCCUGGCCAGCCCGCAAACAGCAUUUUUCCACGGCGACUCGGUUUACGCUCGCGGUUAAAAAGAAUCCGCUCCGUGUUGGUCGCGCGUCGCCACCCGAUUACCAACAGAAGAAAUGCCAGAGACUAAAGACGGGCAGAACGAGCAAGGGAGCCGCUAUAGCGGGCAAAAAUCAAGAGAUACCGAGCCAAGUUCCGGGAAACGGUUAUAUCGUAUCGAUCGUAAAGUAGGAGAUGACGAGGAAGCACGCGUAAUAACCGUGAAUGUGUGAAUACCCUCUAACGUCGUUUAAAAUGGAUGGAAGAUUGAAAAUUUCAGUCGCAGCUGUCCGUCCAGUGUUUUAAGAAGUAAAAAUUACUUUAAACAAUGUUUCUCUUCGUUUAAAGAAUUGUUGAAGCGACAAAAGACGCAUGGUAGAUGCAAUCGGAGGUAACGGAUAUAUAACAACCGAGAGUGCGUAAGCAACUUCUGUAUAAUGUAUAGAAUUGCAGGGACAAGGCCACGUGUGAAUUUAUCGCAUAUGUUGGAUAUUUCAAGAAGAAAAGAUUAAUCAAGUAUUAUGCAGUCUUCUCGUAUCAAGGAAUCAAAAGUGUGAUUGAAAGAUACAAGUACAUUAUAGACGUUUUCUAUGUUUAAAAAUGCUAUCUCGAAGGAAGAUUGAAUAUUUUAUCGAGUUAAAGUUCUUGCAACUUUGUUUGGUUCUCGUUUCACUUUCAGGACACCUUAGCUGAUAACGAGGAACGUGUCGUAACUAGAAACGUGCAAAUAUCCUCUGCGAUAAAAGUCGUGAGUGAGUUGUAGGAACUACAUAUUUUAAACAGCAGAGAUUAUUGUAAGUUUGUUUGGUCCUUAUCUUUCCAGAAAAUCGAGUAUGUCAUAAUUGAAGACAUGAAAAUAUUUGUUACGAUUGCACGUAAGUUAUUUGCGUGAAACCGAAUAUUUAAAAAAAACACAGCUAUCGCUGUAUAAAUUUAUCUGCAUCUUUUUCAGAGAACCACAACUUGAUGGCAAGGACCGUGUGAUAACGACAGACGCUGAAACAUGUUCCAUGAUAAAAAAUGAUUUUCUUUAUAAGCCAAGAUGAGCGCAGUAAGAGUAAUCACAAUUAAAUUAAUUAUAAGUACGGAAAAUUAAUCUAUGGCCCUCCUUGUCUGCGAUCAAGUUAUGCAGUGUCAUCUAGUACAUGGUAACGGAACUGAAAUUUGGAGCGAUCAUGUAUAGGUGGCAGGACGUGACACGUUCGAACGCAAAAAAUCGAGCUCUUUGUUUCGAAACGUGUGUUGGACGAACCAUGUUCUGUCAUCUGUGUGUAAACGUCCCAAGUUUCAGUUCCUUUACCACGUAACAGAUGGCUUAACGUGGUACGUCGAAACGCAAAAAAUAGAGCUCCUUAGUCCGAAACGUGUGUUGGACAAGACAUGUCCUGCCAUCUAUGCGUAAACGCUCCAAGUUUCAGUUCCCUCAUUAUCUAAUAGAUGUCCUGACAUGACUUGACUGCAGACAAAGAGAGCUACAGUGUACGAUAAUGACAAAUGAUACGAGCGGUGGAAGAGGAGGAUACAGUGUACGACAAAGAUAGACGAUGCAAGUGCCGGUAGAAAGAGGAACUCUCUUUUUCUCUUUCUCUUUCUCUUUCUCUCUAUUAUGCUAGUGUAAACAUAGAGGAAACAUAAAUUAAUUCUACUUCAAUUAGAACGAAUAACGAGUUGUGGAUGUAAAACUAGUUGUAGCCACGUGUAAAAAGUAAUUCAAGCAUUCUCCUUAUAAUUAAACUACCAUUAAAUGCAAAUUAACUAAUAUCAUUAAUAACUCGGAUAUCUGAAAAAUGCCAUAAAUUCAAAUUGCUACUUUGUUCCUUCCGAUAUAUAUUAAUUACAUUUUUAUAUUAUACUUCAUUUCUAAUUUAUUGUUCCACCUGCUAGACUAAAAGAGUAAUUUAAAAUGCAAAUUACGUUCUCAAGGCUUGCAGUAUAUACAAAAAUUGUUUUAUAAUCAUUAUUUAAUCCUAAUUUCAUUAAACUGUUAACCAAGUAAUACAAGACACUUUGAUACGAUUAAUUCUUUUGUCCGCAAGUCCAACCCCUUCCUAUAGCUCGUUUCAUAUCUGUUAAGAAUAAAUUACAUUGUAUUUACAUUUGCAGCAAGUGAAAUCUAUUUAAUCUGCAAUUGAUCAAUUGAUUUGCCUGCCUUUAUUAAUUUUCAUUUUAUUAUAAUUUAAUUAUUUCUUCGAUUUAUCGUUUGCAUUUUACAUAAAAAAAUGUAGAAAUUUUCGAUCAAACCAUCAAACGAUUAGCAGGUCGAACAUCAACAAAUUUCAACAAAUCUUCUAAAAUCUCUUACUUUUAUCUGUCCUUGUGCCACGACCACCGCGAUUAACCGUCAUAUGUCCAAGAUUUUUCCAAAAUAAAGUCAAAAAAGACCUGAAAGGGUGGACGUUGCGCUGGAGAACUAGCGUUUGCUGCCAGUAGAUCAAUGAAAAGUUUCAUUCACCGACGGUAUUCGCUCGUUUUUCGUCAUCGCUAUCGCUGCACGUGAUCUGACCGUUCCUCUGGAUCGAUUAGACCCACCUCACACGUGGCCGUCGUGUGUUUCAGUCUGCGCUAAAACUCCAUCUUUGUUUUUAGCAAAAUGGCAAAAAAGAAUAGAAUAUUUAAUUAAUUAUUUAUCUAUAAAUGAAUUGUUAUUUAUCGUAAAUUUGGUCAAUUUUUCUAGCAUUUUAUAUGAAUAAAAUUGCAGAUGCACUUUCAGCAUUUGAGAAUGGAGAAGAUUUUGUAGUCAUCAUAAAUGCAGGGUUUAAAGAAGAGAUCAGUAGCCUUCGAUCAAUCAUUUGGAGUCAAGAUAACGGAAUAUUAAAAGCAACACGCUAUUGUAUUUUUUAUGUUUGCGUUUCAGAUAGAGUAAUUGAAUAUUGACUCAUUUAAAUUUAAUCUACACCGAAGAUGAUAGUAUUUAAAUAAAAUUACAGAAGUACGUAAAUAAAAUUGCAGAAUUCCGGUCAAAUAAUACUCCCUUCAUUUCCUUUUCUACGUUUUAUCACUGAUCGUUCAGCCGUA